AGAAAACUUCAGCCAUGAAGUCUUACAGGCUAAGCAGGUUGAGCAAGCCGUGGUGGUCCACCAGAGCUGAUGCAGGGAAAGCAGUGGGGGACAGGAAGGUCUGAGGAGUAGGAUUAGCCCCUCUCACCUGAUAAACUGAGCAACAUCAUCAAACUGUAUGUGACUUCUGCUGGUGGAGCCUGUACUGAGUCUCUCUUUAUAUGUUUGCAUAAUUCUGUCAUUGGGCACUCAGACGCUCUCAAGUGGGAGUGAGAGGAAGAGGUUACCUGAUCAAUCAGGUAUUUCCUUCAGCUGCAGUUCUUUUUCCUACAGGAAACUCUGGCUUGUAUAAACCACUCAAGAAGCAAACAUCAAAGGACUCCUCUAUCACUUAGUGGGGGUAAUAGACUGUACUUGAACUCUACUCAGUGAAGUGAAACUUCUUAAACUGAGAGCUGAAGUUAAAUUUGUUAUUCCUGGCAAACUGCCCAAGAGGAAAUGGAUCCAGGGCAGAAGUUUGUUUGUUAGAUAGCAGUGAGAGAUUGACACUUUUAUAAUAAGCCACAAAAGCAGAAAGAAUAGAAAGUAGUUGCUGAAACUACUGAUUAUUCUCAGAUCUGCUCUUAAUGCUGCAUCAGUUACAAGAUUUCCUUUUAGUAAUUGUCAAAUAAUGGAAAUCAGAAACCAUGAAACAUCAGUAAGAAGGAUUUUGAGCAAAGAUUCUGCACAUGAGUCUGAUUCAAAAGGAGGAUAAAACACAUAAUCAGCUGCAGCAGGUCCUUUGCAUACAGUAGUUGUUACCUCACAAACAGACUGGGAUCCUUCACUAAGGACACAAGGUACUGAGUGCCAGUUCCGUCCCCACUUUCAGUCCAUUGUAUGCCCAUACCCUGCCCACCAGUGUCAAAAAUGUGGUGCAAGGAGCUCUCAGUUGUUUGACAAGAUUCUCACCCAAUAGCUGUAAUGAUCAAAUCUACAGCAACUCUGUGUGAAAACAGAGGAACGGGGCUGAUGGAGAAAGUUCAGUUCUUCAAAGCUAAGAUAGCUGCAAACAGACACCAUUAAUCAUCCCUCUGCCAAGAUCUUCUUCCCACACCAGGCUUUACUGUACAUUCCUUGCAUUUCCAUACCAUGAUGUCAGUCCAGCAUGGAACAAAGAUAAGAAUGGCUCAAGAUUUUCCUUCAAAUGAUCCCUUUUCUACAAAGCUAUAUAUAAAAUAAAACUUGCCAUGGAAUUUGGAAA
Molecule: long non-coding RNA, 1222 nt
Organism: Pseudopipra pipra
Lineage: Eukaryota; Metazoa; Chordata; Aves; Passeriformes; Pipridae
Exons: 3
Source: RefSeq, a predicted model, not a curated record